Molecule: long non-coding RNA, 14535 nt
Filed under: Lynx pardinus (Iberian lynx)
Lineage: Eukaryota; Metazoa; Chordata; Mammalia; Carnivora; Felidae
Source: RNAcentral
AUUAUUUCAAGCAUUGCAGAAGCUGUCUCCAUGUCCUUUAGGUGACAAAGCCUAUGAGGACUCUGGAUUACUUGGAAUAAAGAAAGACAAGGAAGAGAAAGCUAAAUAACAGACUGAAAAGAGGAGAAAAACUAACCUAAAAUUCCACCGAUGGAUUGCAUCAUGUAUGUAUGUAUAUAUACACGUAUGUGUGUAUGAGUUUAUGUGCAUGAGUAUAUUUUAUGUGUGUGUGUAUUUAUACACACAUAUACACACUAAGAGAAGAAUGAGUGAAUUUGAGAAAAACAGACUUUGUUAAGGUGAUAGAAGAAUGAGCACUUACAUUUGAGUUCAGAGCUUUGCUUUAAAAGUAGGCUUAAAUGUCUGAUUACUGUUCUAUAAUACUAAAUCCUGUGGUAUAAUGAAAACAAAAUACAUCAUAGUAUAACAGAAAGAUUACUCAACUUAGUGCCCCAAGUUCUAAAACCUAGCUUGCCCUAAAAUCUAUUAGAAGAUGACCUCCUCAAUCAAUAAAUCUAUACUAGAAGUGACCUUUACAUUAUUACUAUAGAAAACUGUUGCAGAGUCCUAAAUAAGAAAUUAAUCUGAUCAUAAAUAAGACACUUAAAUGCUCAUUUUAAAGAUUCUACUUAGUAUUAGGAACUAAAUAAAAACUAGUAGUAAGAGACAAAACUUACAUAUAUUAUUAUAUAUUGUGCUAUGCCAUCAUGCUACAUAUUAUACUAUGCUAUAUUAUACUACAUAUUAUGCUAUAAUUGUCUCUGCAUUUCAUUUUGUUAAUCGGUAAAAGAUAAAUAACAUAUUAUCUACCCACAUCAAAUAAUGAAAUGCAUUUCCUUAAUGAGGUAUAAAAGGGAGGCCAGUGAUAAUUUCCAGCUUUACCAAAUAGAAUUAGUCCUGGCUACUUUGCAUAGUAGGUAUGUAUAUAUGUUGGCCAUUGAAGAUGCUGUCUCUGAUAUUCUCACAGAGGAUGUCUGGUGUCAAUUUUAAAAUAUUUGUUUAGAAGAACUAAUGUUUUAAUAUUCAUUUUUGCCUCCUGUUGGUAGACUAAGUUUAAUUUCCAAUGAAAGUCAAAGCAGACUCCUUAAAUAAUCUUUUUAAGCAGCAUUUAUCUAUGCUAAAGUGCCUGAAACUAAUUUCUCAGUUUUUGUGUAGGGAGAAAAAAUGUUAUAGCUCUAUUAUUCAAAGUUUAUGUUCUGUUAUAAAAUUGUUGGUUAUUAAAAUCACUUUGAAGCAAAAUUAUCUUCUCAUAUAUCUAAUUAUUUGAUACUUCAUCUAUCUAGUUGAAAUUUAUUUUUGAUGCAUACUCUAAUUGCUCUAUAGUAAAUUUUGGGUUUCUUCCCAGCUACUGUCUUUCUUUUCUUGUAAAACCAUGCUGUUGACCUUUGUAAAUACAGGAAUCACUUUCAGUGUAUUACUACACUGAUUUGAUCUCUUUCAUUUAUUUCCUUGGUAUAUUGUAAUUAAUGUCUUUGGGUGUUUUCUAAAUAAGAUUUCACUUGGAUGGUCCAGAUCUAAAUGCUUAUGUUCAUGAAGAAAUAUUAUUUUUAGAGUUGUUUCUAAUUUUCAUUUCAUUUUCCCCUCCUUUGACCAGAAUUCCCAAUACUAAGACCCUCUCACCUAGGACCUACCCUGGAUUCACCUGCCCCCUUGUGGUGUUCCUCUCUGAAUAGUUAAUUGAUUUCUGAAAUUGGACUUGAUGUUACAUAUCCUGAGAAGAGAAAUCUCAUUCCAUUACUCUUGUCUAGCAGUGUAGGGUCAGAAAAGUUUUCUUCUCUUAGCCACUGGCUAACACAAAAAGAGAAAAGAAGUGUUGUGGGGUUUUUUUUUAUAUUACAUAUUUUGGGGUUUUUUGUUUUAAAUUCAGAGCACAAGAAGGAAAUUGGGCAAGAAAUAAGUAGAUUGGAAUAAAUGAUGAAAAUUAAUUUUGCCUAAAAUCAAUAUUAGUGACCUGAAGAUCGAUAAGGUAAAGACAUGUUUCAAAACUUAUCAUAAAGCAACUUAAAAUCAAGUUCUUUCUAUGUCCAUGUCUCCUUUUUCACUGAGUGGAGGAAGAAGGGAGAAUGCUAUCCUGUUUUAUUUAAAUGUUAAAUAGAUUUCAUAAGCCUUUCAUCAAUGAUGAAUUCAUAAAUAUAAAAAAUAGAUUAAACCUCAUGUCCUGUGUAGUUAGAUAUGUCUGAUAUGAUUGACGCGAAUACAUUUUUGUUUCCCUUUCCCAAAAAGGAAUCCCUUCACAUGCCUCAGGACCAAUGUUUACAUCUUCAGUUGAAGUCAAUAGAAUUUGCACAUGGAAGAGGGCUAUAUGGGGUCAAUGGAUAAAUUACCUAGUCACAAAUUCAGAGACAUUUUGUAAGAAUAAGGACUUAAGAAUUAAGCUACUAGUUAAUAAAGAAUAAUAUCAAGAUAAAAGAAAGGGAAAAGGAAAGAGAAGUAUUUACAUAAUGAAUUUGUCUUUCUUAACAGGAAGAGAUGGAUUAAUAAAUUAUUAUUAACAAGUACAUUUUUAAAUAUAUCAUUUUCUUUUAACUGUAAAUAUUUCUAGUAGAAAAGAGUUGUUUCUUUCUAUGCUGAUCUGCCUCCCACCCCCACUCCCCACCAAAGCUUGAUUUGAUUGAAUAAUAGUGAUCCGUCGUGGCAGUUUAAACUUCACAGCGCCUCCCUUGAGAUCUGGAAGGAACAGUACGCAGGCUUUAAUAAAGCUAUAUGUAGUCCAACUGCCAAGUUUCUAGCACCCACCGCUCCUUUGCAGUUUCUCUUCUAUUUGUAACAGUUGACCUACUAACAGGUUCCCAGAAACACAGGUUCAGAUUUUGGCAGGCUUACCUCACCUCUUUGUCCUUCCAAAGUACAUAAAUGCUAAACUGUGUUCACAGUGAGGAAGGGAGAGUCAUUCCAAUGAGACUUUUAAAAAUCAAGACCCUUUCUGCUCCCCACCAAGUUACUGCCAUCCUCUCCAAAGGAAUCAAGUUUUUGUCAGUGUGCCCUUGGCAUAAUUUCUUCAGCCUGGAUUAAACACAGGUGACUGAGAGUCUACCUUAUCUUCACAGGGCAUUAGUCACUCUAUAAAAGUUAAAUUUAUUAUGAAAUACUUUGUUUGUGUUAACAUAUAUCUUCUCUGGGAAGUUGGAAACAAAGGCAUGUCCUUUAAGACUCCAUAUGGGGAAAACACAUCCUCCUUUGGAAUUUAACCUUAAUUUGAACCAAGAUCUGUGAAAGAAAAGCACUUUAGUGUAUUGUUCCCCUGCUCCACCCAUCUAUCCCUUAUCUAAAUGGGGUUACUGUUGCUUCGUGUUUUUUAACUCUUCUCGUUCCAAAUCUUGCUUUCCUGAGUUUAAAAUUUAUCUCAGUAGAGAAAUGUAUUAAAAUAAUUGUGGCAAACAGUUGUGCUUUGCUUUUAAGGAUAAGUGAUUUUAUGUAACAUGUUAAUUCUGAUCUUUAAAAUUAAACGUAUAGCCAGUUUAUACUCACAUACGUUGUUUUAACAAAUGGUGAAUUUUAAAGAAUAUUUUAUUCCCUAAAAGAUUUAUUUCCUGAAAAUCCUCUCUCAGAUUCUCUUACUGGCAUUGUCAUGUAGGCAUAGUUUCUACUUGAUUAGAAGUUAAAAACAAUUAGAAGAAAGGUUUACAUUAAGAAUGAUGAUGAGGUAUAUUUGAAAGACCAAUUUUCAAGACUUCUGAUUUCCUUCAGUCUGUUUGCAAAAUCUUUGUAAUGCUUUCACUGUAUCUCAGUCCAUAGACGGCCCAAUUUUCCAAUAUAAAAGCAAAAGCAAAGCUUUCAUUGCAGCUACCCUCAUCAUAACAGACUACGUGUUUAUAAACAUCAAGGAAACUAUUUCCAAAAAAUAAUAUUUAAGUUGACAUUUAAAAAAUACUGUGUGUGUGAGUGCUUAGUUUCUUUCAUUUAAUAACAUCUACCAACAAACUUGUAAUUAUCCAAAUGAUUUUCCUUCAUUGACUUAUGUUACACUAAGGAAAAAUCACAAACUAAAUUUGAAUAUAAACUUAGAUUUUUAUUUAUUAAAAGAACACAAUUUCAAAAUGGACACAUACAGAGACUCAGUGGGUUGAGCUUCCAACUCUUGACUUCAGCUCAGGUCAUGAUCCUAGAGUCAUGCCCCAAGUCAGGCCCCACAUUGAGCAUGUAGCCUGCUUAUGAUUCUCUCUUCCUCUGACCUUCUCGCCCGCUUGUGCGGUCUUCUCUCUCUCUAGAAUAAAAUAAAAUAAAAUAAAAAUUGAAGCAUCCUUACUGACCAUGAACUGUAUUACUAGACAAGACUUUGUUAGAUGAACUUAGAAAUAAUUUAAAAAUACCAUAAAUUCCAUGGAAAUUAUUUAUUUUUAUUAAUUUUUAUUUACCUUUAGAACUCCAACACUAACUAGAACAUAUGGAACAUAGAAGACACUUAAAAGUAUUUAAUUCAAAAUACUACUUACCUAAAGAAAUCACAAUAUGACACAGUCACAAGAAGUAUGGAUAACAGACUGUAGCCACAGGUGAGGGUUAGGGGAUAAGAGAAUCAAUUGUAAAACCUCUAAGCCUUAUUAAUAUAUUAAUCAUUUAAUGACAACACUUAAGUUACAGUACAAGUGAAGGCGGAAGUAAUGUUCUCAGAAGAAAUGUUUCUAUGCCAGUUAUAUUUGGAAGUCUUCAGUAUUUUUCUAAAAGUAUAUCCUAAUGAGAGGAUUGAAAGAGAUACUAGAGAGGGUUUUAUUGUUUGUAUUUAUCAGUAAUCCAGACAACACCAUCCCAGUGCUAAGGAUACGAAGUUGACUGGAAAUCACAGUCCAGAGGGAAUGAUGUAGCAGUAAAUGACUAUAAUACAGUGUGGGAGAUACCAUAAUAGAGGCAGGCUCAGAAUGCUUUAGCAAAACAGGUGAGAAGGCAUCUUGCCUUGCUGAUGAGAUUAAGGAAGGCUUCCCAGAGGAGAUGGUGUUUGGGUUAAGUGCCACAGGGACUAGUAAUUAAGGAGUGCAUGGUGAUUUUAACCAGAGCAAUUUCUACUCUAAUAAGAUACAAAAUCCAAAUUGCAGACAAUUAGAAGUGAAGGAAACAUAGAAAUGGAGACAGUGAGUGUAGACUGCUUUUCCCAGGAAACUACCUUCUAACUCUCCUUACUUGCUGCCUCUGAAUAGAUUUAAUAAAGAAUUUACAUAUUGCACAACACAAUUAAGUGCUGUUGCUAGUAAUAGAUUUUUUUCUGCGUGUUAGUGAAUAAAUCAUAUUCCAUUUGUACAAGCUCAGUAACAUGAACCUUCCAGCAAGAGCCUUAUCGCUUGACAGAGGAUCAGAGCUACACCUUUCAUUGUCAGUGUCUUUGAUCCCCAAUUCUUCUCUUCCCCCUUUCUAUUCUGGACCUUCACAGUCUCAGUUGCCAAGUAUACCUGGAUGAAACUUUCUCUUUCCUCCCUGUCUUCUUCCAUCUUUCUCAUAAUUUCUCUUUGUACCUCUAACCAUAUAUCCUCAUGUGAUCCAAAUAGUUUAGUAUCUAUACUAUUAUAGAUAGUAAUGUAGUAUACUAUAUUACUAUAGUAAUAGUAUAUAUUAUAGUAUAUAUAUAAUAUAUAGAUAUAGUAUAGUAUAUAGUAUAUAUAGAUAGUAAUAUAGAUAUAGUAUCUAUACUAUAUUAGCAUCUUUCUGAUGCUAAGUAUUACUUACUGAAUACACUUCCAAAUUUCUUAGAGCAUUCAAGGCCCUCCAGACUUUUGUUCCAGACACCUUCUCAGCUUUAUCUUCCUGUACCCUCCUCUUUCAUACUUCAACUUCACCUUCCCCUGUAUACACCCUAAACUGUCUGGCUUCCAUUUCCUGACACUGUUAACCCCCACCUGGAAGUGCCCCCUCCCUCCAAUCUCAUGUCUAAAUCCUGUCUGACAUUUAUGGUCUUACUCACUUGUCAUAUUCCCUAUAAAUUCCUUUUUUGAUCUUCCCAAUAGUACUUUUUUUUCUCUUUUAUUUUUUAUUUUUUAAAAUUUACAUCCAAAUUAGCAUAUAGUGCAGCAGUGAUUUCAGGAGUAGAUUCCUUAAUGCCCCUUACCCAUUUAGCCCAUCCCCCCUCCCACACCCCCUCACAAACCCUCAGUUUGUUCUCCAUAUUUAUGAGUCUCUUCUGUUUCGUCCCCCUCCCUGUUUUUAUGUUAUUUUUGUUUCCCUUCCCUUAUGUUCAUCUGUUUUGUCUCUUAAAGUCCUCAUAUGAGUGAAGUCAUAUGAUUUUUGUCUUUCUCUGACUAAUUUCACUUAGCAUAAUACCCUCCAGUUCCAUCCACGUAGUUGCAAAUGGCAAGAUUUCAUUCUUUUUGAUUGCCGAGUAAUACUCCAUUGUAUAUAUAUACCACAUCUUCUUUAUCCAUUCAUCCAUCGAUGGACAUUUGGGCUCUUUCCAUACUUUGGCUAUUGUUGAUAGUGCUGCUAUAAACAUGGGGGUGCAUGUGUCCCUUCGAAACAGCACACCUGUAUCCCUUGGAUAAAUGCCUAGUAGUGCAAUUGCUGGGUCGUAGGGUAGUUCUAUUUUUAGUUUUUUGAGGAACCUCCAUACUGUUUUCCAGAGUGGCUGCACCAGCUUGCAUUCCCACCAACAAUGCAAAAGAGAUCCUCUUUCUCCNNNNNNNNNNNNNNNNNNNNNNNNNNNNNNNNNNNNNNNNNNNNNNNNNNNNNNNNNNNNNNNNNNNNAGGUGGUAUCUCAUUGUGGUUUUGAUUUGUAUUUCCCUGAUGAUGAGUGAUGUUGAGCAUUUUUUCAUGUGUCGGUUGGCCAUCUGGAUGUCUUCUUUGGAGAAGUGUCUAUUCAUGUCUUUUGCCCAUUUCUUCACUGGAUUAUUUGUUUUUUGGGUGUUGAGUUUGAUAAGUUCUUUAUAGAUUUUGGAUACUAACCCUUUAUCUGAUAUGUCAUUUGCAAAUAUCUUCUCCCAUUCUGUCGGUUGCCUUUUAGUUUUGCUGAUUGUUUCCUUUGCUGUGCAGAAGCUUUUUAUUUUGAUGAGGUCCCAGUAGUUCAUUUUUGCUUUUGUUUCCCUUGCCUCCAGAGAUGUGUUGAGUAAGAAGUUGCUGCAGCCAAGAUCAAAGAGGUUUUUGCCUGCUUUCUCCUCCAGGAUUUUGAUGGCUUCCUGACUUACAUUUAGGUCUUUCAUCCAUUUUGAGUUUAUUUUUGUGUAUGGUGUAAGAAAGUUGUCCAGGUUCAUUCUUCUGCAUGUCGUUGUCCAGUUUUCCCAGCAUCAUUUGCUGAAGAGACUGUCUUUAUUCCAUUGGAUAUUCUUUCCUGCUUUGUCAAAGAUGAGUUGGCCAUACGUUUGUGGGUCCAUAUCUGGGUUCUCUAUUCUGUUCCAUUGAUCUGAGUGUCUGUUCUUGUGCCAGUACCAUACUGUCUUGAUGAUUACAGCUUUGUAGUAUAGCUUGAAGUCUGGGAUUGUGAUGCCUCCCCAAUAUUACUUUUAUUCUCCAUCUCAGUUUUUUAUGUGUCUCUAUGCCAUUCAUUUAUUCAGCAAAACUUUACUGAGUACCUACUAUAUGCCAGAAACCAAAAUGACCAUUUUCUACUUUUUUUUCCCCACAGUUGACUAACUAUUUUAUCUCACCACUCCUAUCACGCUAAAUUCUUUAAGAUCAAGAAUCAUCUAAUAUAGCUCUGGAAGUAUCUAUUACAAUGCUUUCCACUAGUAAUUGUACGAGUGUGUUGAUUUCAUUUAUUAAUGAAUAAAUUAAUCUCAAAUGGAGAUCCAUCCUCUGAAAUUCAGUGAAACAAAGAUAGCACUCAAAUCUUUUAUUCUCCCUGCCAUGAAGUUCUCUCCUAUCAUUGUCUGCAAGAAUACAGUUUGUCACUUCCUCAGUUUAACUGUCUUAUGGCACUUAACAAAAUGGUAUUUGGCUUCCUUGUAUUUGUUCUCUUAAAUUCUUCCCUAUCUUCAGCUCCAUAUAUUCCACUGAAAGAUACCAAGAGUUGUAAUAUUAAUCAAGUCCCUCCACUUUACCUCCAUGACGACCUCACUUAUGGUAUGGUGACCAUGCUACAAUUUCCUUCUUAAAAGGGUCGUUCAACUCCAGUUUCCUUCUUUUGACCUAUCCUACAUAAGUUAGCUUUGAAUUUAGACUCAGAUUGUAUUUGUUUUCAAAUCUUUCCUCUUUCUGUAGCCAUUACAAAAACUGUUUAAUACUAACACACUUCCAUUUCUUCCCUGAUCUUCCAUCUUCUUGCUAUUUGGCAACAAUCUUAGUUUAAAAUGCGCUUCACUUCUAGAACAUUCUACCUCUUCACUCUCAUCAGCACAGUUUACUUACUGUAUCACUCCAGCUAUCUUUAACACAGCUUAAAACCUGUUUUUAAGGGAGUUUUUAAAAAUUAACCUAGAUUUGUGUGUCACUAGAUUCUCUAUAUAUUGUUCAAUCACUAAAGUAAUUGAAACAAAUUUUAUCCUUCUCUAUGAGUCCUCUGCUAAAGACAUUACCUAAUCCAAAUAGAGUAAUAUUCAAUAUGAAUCCCAUACACUGAUCUGUAUUUUAAAUGUAAAGUUUUGCUUUUCAUGAUGGUGUUAAUCUGUGGUUUUCUGCCCUUUAAGUAGAACAAAUAUAAUAAAUAGUGCCAAGAUACUCAACUCUGCUAGAAUUACAAUAUAUAAGCAAAUGAUCUUUAUUGACUAAUUAACCAAAUACAGAAAAAUUAAUGCUAGCAUAACAUGACUUCAAACAUAUUCCAGUUCCUAAAAUAUGGGUAAGAGACUGAAUGUGAGGCUUGAAUGCAAGAAUUACCAAGAUUUGAUGGUCAGCGACUAGGGUUUAGAAUAUAAUAAGGAAAAGUCUUCUUCUUCCAACUAUAACAGAGUUGCUAAAAUCUGAUUAAUUCACUCACUGAGAAUAACUAUAAAACUUGGACAAAAUACUUUACUAAAAAUAUAAAGAACUAAGAAGAGACUUUGUCAGUUCCAUGAUGCUGGGGAGACAAAAAUUGGAGGGCAAUUCUCACCAAAGAGCAGAGACUCAGCUUUGGGGUCAGACCUAGGGAAAGCUAUUCCAUAGGAGUAAAGAUACAUUGUAAAUAGAACAGCUUCAACUAUAUCAAGGUGAUCUUCCCAAAUUCACAUACGCCUAAGAUACUCACCAAUACAAGAUGGAAUUUGGAGGAAGGAUGGGGAAUUUGCCUGUGCUCUAGACCCUGCACUGAAUAGGAGGCUGCCUGCCACUGGAGGAGAUGUCUGGGGCCUGCCUAAGACCAAGAUGGGAGCUGGAGAGCUGAGUAACCCUCCCUGACCCACUGUGAGCCUUGCAUCUAAUAGCAGGUAACAGCCAUGUACUUCUGGGGGGAAUAAAAAUAUAGAAAUAGACUCUGUCUAUGCUGCAGGCAUUGAUAGCCUGCUGAAAUCUGAGGGUGGAACAGAGAAACUGAGAAAAGAAAGAAAGAAAAAAGGAAGGAAGGAAGGAAAGAAGAAAAAAGAAAAGAAAGAAUGAAACAAAGAAAGAAAGAAAAAAAAAGAAAAGAAAAGAAAAAAAAAGAAAGAGAAAAAAACACUUCCAGCUCUCUAGGCCUCACAUUGAAUACAAGUUGUGGUAAUCCAGCCCGUCCCUGGAAAAACUUUAAAUCUGUGGUACACUAAAGACAACUAUAGCAAUCACAAACCCCAGCUCACCUCAAGUGCUUACUAAAUUCACUCCAAUGCCCACACUCAUGGCCUGACAAAAGAGAUAUUCCCAUUUUGGGCAUGUACCUCAGUUUCAAUUGCUCUUUUAUAUAUCAUAUUUGACAUUUAAUUUAUUUAUUUUUUUUUUAAUUUUUUUUUUCAACGUUUAUUUAUUUUUGGGACAGAGAGAGACAGAGCAUGAACGGGGGAGGGGCAGAGAGAGAGGGAGACACAGAAUCGGAAACAGGCUCCAGGCUCCGAGCCAUCAGCCCAGAGCCUGACGCGGGGCUCGAACUCACGGACCACGAGAUCGUGACCUGGCUGAAGUCAGACGCCCAACCGACUGCGCCACCCAGGCGCCCCUUGACAUUUAAUUUAAAAAAAAGAAGAAAAAAAAAAAAAGACACACUGGAAAAGACACCAAGAAAACCAUGUGAAAAGAUAAAAUAGUCAAUAGAAUCAGACCCAGAGAUGACCCAGAUGUUGGAAUUAUCAGACUUUGAUAAGAGAAGAAUAAAAAGACAUAUUAAUUUAAAAAUAGUAACAAUAAGAUUGUUAACUUCUCAGAAUAAUAGAAAAUAGAAUAAAAUGAAAAAAAAUGAAAUUAAAAAAAUAAAACUUCAAAGUGCUGAAAGUAAAAAAAUCAACAACCUAGAAUUAAAUGCCCAGGGGAAAAUAAAUGAGAGAAUAUCAUAAGCAAAGCUCAACUAAAAGAAAUCCUUUGGGGUGCCUGGGUGACCCGGUCACUUAAAUAUCCAGCUCUUGGUUUUGGCUCAGGUUAUGAUCUUACAGUUUGUGGGUUCGAGCUCUGCAUCAGGUUCCACACUUGCAGUGUGGAGCCUACAUUCUCUCUCUCUCUCCUUCUCUCUCUCCUCUCUCUCUCUCUCAAAAUAAUAUUUUAUUAUUUGUUAUAUUGAACAGUAAUCUAUCUUCUUGAAUUUCAACCUCCUGACCCUAAUUCUUCCCUCUACAAUUACACACAAAUAAUUCUAAUUUCUCUCACGUAUGCUUGAAAUAUUAUAGUACCCUCCAAUGCAACAGAAAUGUUUUAUUCUGUAGCCAAACAUCCCCAAUUUAAACCGUCCUUUGCAAGAUGUGGUCCAGUACUUCUCUAACCCAGAAUCUUCUAAAUGUACCUCACUUUCUUCAUAUUUCUUAAAUAGAUCCCAACACAUGAAACAGAGUCUUGUAGAAGCAUCUGGGUGGCUAGGUUGGUUGAGUGCCCAAGUCUUGAUUUCGUCUCAGGUCAUGAUCCCAGGGUUGUGGGACCAAGCCUCACAUGGUCCACUCAGUGUGGAGCCUGCUUAAUAUUCACUUUCUCUCUCUCUCUCUCUCUCUCUCUCUCUCUCUCCCUCUCCCUCUCCCUCUCCCUCUCUCCCUUUUCCUCUCUCUCACUCUCCCUUUGCCCCUUCCCCCCGCUCACACACUCUGUCUUUAAAAUAGUAAUCCAAGGCAUUCUUGCUUUCCCUACUCCAUGUAUGCAGCAAUGACAUUUAUCUUUUUUAAGGGGAGAAAAUCAUGCUAUUUAUUCAUAUGUAAUUCCUAAUUUUACUUCUGUGAAAGCUCUGGCUUCAAGAGGUUAGGAUUUAUUUUUGUUCACUUAAAGCUAUUGCUCAGAAAUAUUAGGCUAGGAAUAGUGUACAAACAAGACUUGGACAACAAGAUUCUGGAGGCUAUUUUAACAGAUAGUGCACAGUAAUAUGGGCUAAAAUUGUGACCUUUGGGAUGUCAAAGAAGGAAAGAUUGGGAUAGUGGGUGUAUUGAUACGGCAGACUAAUUUUAGGUGGACGGGCAAUAAGAGGGCAAUAAUGAGUCAGUGAUGACUACGACUUUUCAAGCCUUAGUAGCAAAGAGAAUGAGAAAAAUAUGGAAGUCAGGAGGCAUGCCUUGUUACAGGGAGACAUGUGUUGCUCUAAUUUAAAUUUAUUGAAUACUUGUAGAGAGGUAUAGAAAUAAGAUGGGGGAUUUUGUGGAGGACAGGAAUGGACUUUUAGCUUCAUACAUGAUAGCACAAGCCAUAAGACAAAGGAACAAAGGGCCUAUCAAUGUCCUCUAGCCAAAGACCAUCAGGAACAUAGUAUGAUUGAACAAAUUGGCUUUCUUACUUGUUUGCAAACAAGACCACACACGAUAGGGGAUCACAUGGCAUUUCAGUAACUUAUUAUAAGAUAGGGGCUCAUGAUAGAUAUUUUGGGGGAAGAUUCAAGAAAGUACGACUUUGAAUUGGCUACUGUCAGGAUAUAAGGGUAAUUCUGUCAUUGGGUAUCUCAAGAAAUCUUAUUUAGAAAGAGGGAAGACUAGAACAAAGCUAAAGCUAUCAUUUGUAAAGAAGCAACAGUUACUAGUAUUAGCAAGCAUGAGGAUUGUUUGCUAUCUUUGUGGUUUGCAGUGACUUUAUUUUUGUCUGUACUGGGACAAAAUUACAAAGUGGUCUUUUUGUCUCUCCUAUCAUUAGAGUGUCCUUGUCUAAAGUUGGUGUUUAGUAAAAAUAGUUUUUGUAUCGCAGGAGAAUACCUAGGCCUACCUGUGAAUGCCAGGCCAACUCCUAAAAACACCAUAGCCUAGCUGGGAGCGUCAAGCCAUUUUCCAAAUGUUAGGGGUUGUUUUUGUCUCUCAGAUCAAUGGACUUAGCCUUGGGGAACUACAGUGGAAGCUGGAACAGACACAAAGAUAUUUAUAGAGAUAGAGAAGCAGUCCUGAGGAAGUGGAGAGUGAGGAAAGGCUAGUGCCAGGAGGUCCUUGGUGGGAGCGUGGUCACUAUGGCUAAGAAUAUUCAGAACUGUUUGAGACUCUGGGUGUGGGGAAAUGAAGUAAAAACAUCAUUGAAUCAAGGUAUCACUGAUGAUCUUCAGGGCAGAAGGUUUUUGGGUGUUUGUUUGUUUGUUUGUUUGUUUCAAGACAAGGGGCCACAGAUCAAAUUGCAGGGCUAUGGAGAAAUAGAUACUGUGGGUGAAGACCACUCAUUUGAAAAUUUUGGCAGUGAAAAGAGCAAGAGAAUAUGAACUAGAAAAUUUUGUGAAAUCAAAUUUUCCCACGAAAAUGGAGGUAACCAUUACAUGUUUGAAGCUGAGGAGAAGGAACCAUUGGAAACAGCAACAGUGGAGAUGGUAGUAAAGCAGUAAAAAACAAAAAAAAAAAACAAAACAAAACAAAAAAACAAGAGAAGGGUCUGAGACAAGAACCUCAGGACUCCUUGGCAUCCUGGACUAGUAGAAGAGAACAUACUGGUACAGAAAUAGACAUGUUGAGUUGGGGUACAGGGUAGACGAAGGAAUGGAUGACAGGUAAAAUGGGCUUUUUCUCUUUUUCUUUUUCAGGGAAGUUAGAAACUAAGAUCAUCAACAAAGGGGAAAGGGAGAUGCAAAAGUCUGGAGGAGGUUUAAGUCAUCUGCUAAGAAGUUGUUUAGUAAAUCAACAAAAGAUACUGGUUUCUAUUAAGUCAUCUCUUUUAUUAAAGAAGAAAAUAUAACUGUUGCUGUAUAUUAUUAAUUUAUGGAGGAUUAGAAGCAAGAGCCCUUCUCUUCUCAAAAGCCGGGGGUGGAGUAGGGGGGAUGGUCGCCAUAUUUUUACAUAAGAGUGGUACAAACAAACUUUCUAGAUUAACUAUUACUUUACACAUUUGUAAGUUUUAUUUUGGCUUUUGAAUACUGUAUCGCCCAGAGGGGGGAAGAAAUCUUGCUGUUUUCAAAAGCUAAAGAACAUCAACCAGAGACAAUAGCCAUCCAGAAGGCUGAAUUCCAUAGUAUCUAGAGCAAAGCAAAUUAAGGUCUCCACUCGCAGUCACAGAAGUGGACUUCCUGCUUUCCGCUGAAUUCUGCGUAUGUGUAUCUAAAUAACUAGCUGGCCUGCUCCUUCCUGGUAUUAGCUGUGAUUGAGAGAUAACUCACCCGGCGGCGGUGGCGGCGGCAGUUUUUGUGCGCGCAGUAGCACAUGCUCUUGUGAGCAUCAAAAGGAGAUGAAGCCUGAUUAACCAUUUUGAAAUCUAUCGGAUGAGGAGAAGUCCUUACAAAACAACUUUUAUACGCUUUAAUUAAAAACGUGUUCCGGCAGCUCAGAGCUGAAUGGGCUUCAGGGGGAGCAGGGCUGAGCCGGUUGCUAUGACGACACCAAAUCUUUUCACGCCUGGCCCUUCCCCAGCACACUCUGUCUAGCUCUGUCCAGCCAUUAAUUUGCCUCCAUCCCAUCUCUCACUGCCCCAAUCCCUUGGUCUGGGAGGCAAUGGAAGACCCAGUACCAUCUACCUUUCCUGCUAUGGCAUCUCUCCCUCACUCCUUUUCCCUCAUCAUUUCAUGCCUUAUAUUUCCCUGCCAAUCUCUAUUUUCUUGUUUCUCUUCAAAACAAGUUUACCCCCUGAGUUGAAAAAAAAAUUUUUUUAAUGGGAGAGGGGGGGUCACAGCAUAGUAAUUACUGCUUAUUACCCCUCAUGAUAAAUCCAGUUUUAGGGAUCUUGAGUAUAGUCAAGAAGGACCUCACUAUGUUCUACCCUUUUUUUUUUUUUCCAGGCUUAAGACUGGCUACUACACCACUCUUUCUGAUGCUGAAGAUAAAAAGGACUAUGUUUCACUCUGUUUUAAAGUUAAUUUGUGCUUAUUAAGAUCUCAGGUUAUUCCACAAACAACUGGUAUUUGUAUCAACUGGUAACAAUUGCAAGUGACCGUAAGACUUUGAAAUACUCUGAAACAUUGCAGACCUCACUUUAUGUAAGAAGGCUCUUUGAACAUUUUUAAAGUAGCACUUUUUAUACAGAGACUUAAAUAAAACCCAGUGCUAUCACUUACUGUACCAUAAUGAAACAAAAAUCGGAUGGAACUUGCCCAUCACAGAACCUAACUUGAGAGAAUCUGGUAUCUUUCAAUCUUGUAGUCAGUGCAUUUGUAGACUAUAAUAUUAUUAAACAACUUCUUAAUGUUACUCUUUGAAUCAUCAGAAGCCUUACAAC